Pomacea canaliculata is the source of this 1164-nucleotide RNA transcript. RefSeq lists it as uncharacterized. The transcript has 4 exons. The record is from RefSeq and is a predicted model, not a curated record. Lineage: Eukaryota; Metazoa; Mollusca; Gastropoda; Architaenioglossa; Ampullariidae.
CGUAGUGUAGUUGUCACAACUGUAGGAAGGUUUGCGUUCGGAUAUUUCUGUAUGUAAUAUCUGUCCUCAGGGAGUGUUCUGCGAUUACUCUGGUUUCCUCCCUUUUCCACGUAGUGUUAAAACAUAACCACUUUUCAGUUAAAUCAGCCAACAAACCAGUGAAGAACAGUGUAGUUGGAGAUUUUUCAGUGUUAUAACCUGGCUGAAAAAUAUAUUUGCGUCAAACUCAGAUACGUGCUGCGCCCAACGUUUAGACGACAAGAUAAAUGUAACCUGCACCUUCGACGAGACCAACUCUGAUGGCUCAACUGCUCGGAAAACCCCUUUAAUUGAGGUCACCUUCAUUAACAAAAAGACAGUUUCUGUGAUAUGUCCACUUAAUUUCCAAAAUUACAUAAAUGGAGUAGGGAGCUGCAGCUGUACCAGACCAUCCUCAUCAUCGGCUUUCCGCUGCACUGCAUUGCUUGCGAGCAACAAAAAAGAUGUCCGAAAAGUAGUUUGGAAAAGUGUUAGUGGGCAGGAGAUGGAUGUCUCAAAACUAUACCAGACCUGUAACACUGCAUCAUUGAAUAAUAACCGCUCUAUUUCCAAUGCUCCUUAUGGACCCGCUGUGGUAUUCCUAGUCAUUGUAGCUGUGUUGGCUGUAUGGUGCUAACCAAGACAUUUGGUGCUUAAUCCAUGAAAGUAAAUGCUCGACAAAGCAACGACUGACUGGCAGCCAAGAACUGUGUCAACUUCAUUAGAUACUUUUUCUCAUUAAUUUGUAUUUAAAUGCAUUUAAGAGAGGUUAAGAUCCAUGUCAAAACAUCAGCAGUUUCAAAGAUUUAAAAUCACUAAACCGUCCUGUCAAACCAGUCAAUCAUUGAUCACUUUUGAUACAGUUUACAGAUUAUAAAAAUCAGUUCACUUCCUUUAUAAUGUGAUGGGUGCUACCUCAUUUGUGCCACGCUUGUUAUAAGUAUUACAAUAGCAUUCGAACAGCUAUGCUUUGAUCUUAGGAGGACAUUGUCAAGCACUCAGGAUAUUAUUGCAGCUUCAUCAGCAAGAGUUCAAACAUUGUGUGAAUCAAAAUAUAGAAUGUAAGAAAGGUAUCUUGCUAUAUAGGGCUUUAGAGUACAUAGUAAAAGAUAGGGAUAUAGAGAGUUAAAUAAAACAAUUUCACUA